This 428-nucleotide ribosomal RNA is filed under the name uncultured soil bacterium. RNAcentral's name for it is "bacterial SSU rRNA". It matches the Rfam family "Bacterial small subunit ribosomal RNA", at positions 35 to 456 of the family's 1533-position model. The record is from RNAcentral.
GCUGGCGGCGCGCUUAACACAUGCAAGUCGAGCGAGAACCGGGACUUCGGUCCCGGGGACAGCGGCGAACGGGUGAGUAACACGUGGGUAAUCUGCCCUCGAUUCUGGGAUAGCCCGGGGAAACCCGGAUUAAUACCGGAUAGCCUUUCGAGCCUUCGGGCGCGAAAGAAAAGGUAGCUUCGGCCUCCGAUCGAGGAUGAGCCCGCGGUGGAUUAGCUUGUUGGUGGGGUAAUGGCUCACCAAGGCGACGAUCCAUAGCUGGUCUGAGAGGACGAUCAGCCACACUGGGACUGAGACACGGCCCAGACUCCUACGGGAGGCAGCAGUGGGGAAUCUUGCGCAAUGGGCGAAAGCCUGACGCAGCGACGCCGCGUGGGGGAAGAAGGCCUUACGGUUGUAAACCUCUUUCAGGUGGGACGAAGCCACUC